This 277-nucleotide long non-coding RNA is filed under the name Actinidia chinensis (golden kiwifruit). Its description in RNAcentral is "long non-coding RNA (ACHI_LNC008166)". The record is from RNAcentral. Lineage: Eukaryota; Viridiplantae; Streptophyta; Magnoliopsida; Ericales; Actinidiaceae.
GGAGCUAAAUGUUCAAAGAAUUAGUGGAAUACCAAAACGGGAUGACCACGAAUUAGACAUGAGCAGAUUAGAUAAUGAUUCGUUGAGGCGGCCGCCGCCACCACCACCUCCUCCUCCUCCUUCACCACCACCACCUCCUCCUCAGUUUGAGAAGGUCAUUGUGAAUCCGAUUGCACCUACUACAGCAACUACAGAAAGGCCUUCUACUCAAUCUCCGAUUCCUCAAAUUUCUGUGAAAUCAUACACAAUUGCAUCUCUUCAGCAAUACACAAACAGC